CAGUCGCCACGGGAAUACAGAGGGUGCAAGCGUUAAUCGGAAUUACUGGGCGUAAAGCGCACGUAGGCGGCUUUGUAAGUCAGAGGUGAAAGCCCGGGGCUCAACCCCGGAAUUGCCUUUGAGACUGCAUCGCUUGAAUCCAGGAGAGGUGAGUGGAAUUCCGAGUGUAGAGGUGAAAUUCGUAGAUAUUCGGAAGAACACCAGUGGCGAAGGCGGCUCACUGGACUGGUAUUGACGCUGAGGUGCGAAAGCGUGGGGAGCAAACAGGAUUAGAUACCCAUGUAGUCCCUGUCUCUUAUAC
Molecule: ribosomal RNA, 301 nt
Filed under: uncultured bacterium
Lineage: Bacteria
Description: partial 16S ribosomal RNA
Rfam family: Bacterial small subunit ribosomal RNA
Source: RNAcentral